UACGUAGGGUGCAAGCGUUAAUCGGAAUUACUGGGCGUAAAGCGUGCGCAGGCGGUUUUGUAAGUCUGUCGUGAAAUCCCCGGGCUCAACCUGGGAAUUGCGAUGGAGACUGCAAGGCUAGAAUCUGGCAGAGGGGGGUAGAGUUCCACGUGUAGCAGUGAAAUGCGUAGAGAUGUGGAGGAACACCGAUGGCGAAGGCAGCCCCCUGGGUCAAGAUUGACGCUCAUGCACGAAAGCGUGGGGAGCAAACAGG
RNAcentral lists this ribosomal RNA (253 nucleotides) under uncultured bacterium. RNAcentral describes it as "partial 16S ribosomal RNA". It matches the Rfam family "Bacterial small subunit ribosomal RNA", at positions 524 to 776 of the family's 1533-position model. The record is from RNAcentral.